AUUGAACGCUGGCGGCAGGCCUAACACAUGCAAGUCGAGCGGAUGAAGGGAGCUUGCUCCUGGAUUCAGCGGCGGACGGGUGAGUAAUGCCUAGGAAUCUGCCUGGUAGUGGGGGAUAACGUCCGGAAACGGGCGCUAAUACCGCAUACGUCCUGAGGGAGAAAGUGGGGGAUCUUCGGACCUCACGCUAUCAGAUGAGCCUAGGUCGGAUAAGCUAGUUGGUGGGGUAAAGGCCUACCAAGGCGACGAUCCGUAACUGGUCUGAGAGGAUGAUCAGUCACACUGGAACUGAGACACGGUCCAGACUCCUACGGGAGGCAGCAGUGGGGAAUAUUGGACAAUGGGCGAAAGCCUGAUCCAGCCAUGCCGCGUGUGUGAAGAAGGUCUUCGGAUUGUAAAGCACUUUAAGUUGGGAGGAAGGGCAGUAAGUUAAUACCUUGCUGUUUUGACGUUACCAACAGAAUAAGCACCGGCUAACUUCGUG
RNAcentral lists this ribosomal RNA (484 nucleotides) under uncultured bacterium. Its description in RNAcentral is "partial 16S ribosomal RNA". It matches the Rfam family "Bacterial small subunit ribosomal RNA", at positions 30 to 507 of the family's 1533-position model. The record is from RNAcentral.